CCUACGGGAGGCAGCAGUGAGGAAUAUUGGUCAAUGGACGAGAGUCUGAACCAGCCAAGUAGCGUGAAGGAUGACUGCCCUAUGGGUUGUAAACUUCUUUUAUAUGGGAAUAAAAUGUUCCACGUGUGGGAUUUUGUAUGUACCAUAUGAAUAAGGAUCGGCUAACUCCGUGCCAGCAGCCGCGGUAAUCCGGAGGAUCCGAGCGUUAUCCGGAUUUAUUGGGUUUAAGGGGGGCGUAGGUGGAUUGUUAAGUCAGUUGUGAAAGUUUGCGGCUCAACCGUAAAAUUGCAGUUGAAACUGGCAGUCUUGAGUACAGUAGAGGUGGGCGGAAUUCGUGGUGUAGCGGUGAAAUGCUUAGAUAUCACGAAGAACUCCGAUUGCGAAGGCAGCUCACUGGACUGCAACUGACACUGAGGCUCGAAAGUGUGGGUAGCAAACAGGAUUAGAUACCCUUGUAGUC
This 460-nucleotide ribosomal RNA is filed under the name uncultured bacterium. Its description in RNAcentral is "partial 16S ribosomal RNA". It matches the Rfam family "Bacterial small subunit ribosomal RNA", at positions 338 to 795 of the family's 1533-position model. The record is from RNAcentral.